This is a long non-coding RNA of Archocentrus centrarchus (flier cichlid), 2587 nucleotides long. RefSeq lists it as uncharacterized. The transcript is spliced from 3 exons. NCBI's taxonomy places the organism in Eukaryota, Metazoa, Chordata, Actinopteri, Cichliformes, Cichlidae. The record is from RefSeq and is a predicted model, not a curated record.
CUUCAGCCUUGCCUAUAUACCUGUAAAGACAAAGCUUUACUCUUUUUUUUAGGGGGGAUUUUAUCAGCAACAUAUUUUCCUACAUGGCAAACAUCUCGCUGCUGAGAGGUGAGACCUCAUCCUGAUUCAACUCUGACUGACUCAAGUCCACGAAGACGUGCAGAGAGCAGCAGGGAGGACACGCGCCGGCACACAGGAUCAUCAUCAUCACCAUCAUCAUCAUCAUCAUCACGUUAACAUACCAUGAUGAAGUGGACAACAAUUUCACACUUAGAAAAAAAAAAAACUGCAGCUUCAGUGUGAGAUCAGAGCAGCAGGUCUGAACUUCCACGUCCUGCUCGGAGGGGCUUCAAGAGGUCGGCGGUCCCGGUGCCCUCACUGCCCGUUACUAUGCUGGGUGGCUCUGUGAGGGAAGCCCGGCCUCUUGAGCAGCGGGACGCACGUGGAUAUGACGAGCAGGCUCUGCAGGGCGUCGGGGUCGCGGAACACGUUGGUGCACCGUGGGCCUCCUUUGGGGAUGCAGUUUAAGAACGGGAUGUAGGGACGGGACCGGGUGUCGGUGGAGAAGCUGCUCCUGCUGUCCUGACUGACGGCCGGAGAGCUGCUGACUGAAAACAGAGAGAAGGAGCAACAGGAAGUGUGUGAGAAAUUAAAAACAGGAAAACAGAGGGGUCAGUAUCAGUAAGAAAAACUCUAUAAAUGCCAUUGCCACUUCCACCAGAGCCCUUUGUGUUUUCUGAUGUUUUUAAUUAUGUGUGUGAGGAAAUGAUUGCAAAUGAAUAUAAACAGUGAAAUAAUGUCAGCAGAUUUUUCUUUAUCAGCACAGCCUGAUUAUUUAUAAACAUGUAAAAAAAAAAAAAUGGACCCAGCAAAAGAAUGUGUUAAUAUUUUCUAAGCCAAAUGGUCAUUUUUAUGUGGCAUUUAAAUACUUUUCCCAUGUAUUUUAAUUUGAUGUUUUUUUUCUGUGAUUAAAAAUGCAUUUCUACAUUUUCUCCAAGUUAUGUUUUAGAAAAUCGAAAACAGCAGGCAGGGAAUAAACAGUAAAUUCAGUUUAAUUCAUGCAGCAGCAGUCAUACUAAAGGCUCUUUAUAUUCAGUAAACUGAAAAUGUAGCAGCUGGAUAUUGAUGCUGCAGCUGACAGAAAAGCCUGCAGAAGCUGGCUGUCAACCAGAGACACACGUUACCUCUCUGUGGCCGACCUCAACUCUCAGCAUGUUUACCUGUCCAGGACGCCUGCUGGGGGCUGACGAUCCGGCGUGGUUCUCCCACUCUGCUGUGGCUCGUGGGUUUGUACCGCAGGCGGACGGGCUCGCCGUUCAGGCGGCUGCGGUCUACCACGGGCCUGAGAAAAUGCUGCUGAGUCACGAGGGAGUCGAGCUGCUGCAAACAGCCAUAAAAUGAUGUCGUUUCAGUUCUGUGCCAUAAUUACCACUGAAGCUUAUGAACUGUUAAUCCACUUCAUCCUCCUCUGAUAAUUAUUUUGGGCUGUUUAUUCAAACAGCUGCUGAAUCUCUGCUGAAUUUCUUCACUUUCACCGGUGAAAUUAUAACAUGUACCAACAGGCUGAGCCGGGAAAACGUUUCUCUGACACACAAUCCAGAGAAAGCCUGGGUAACACUGCCUGCUACAAGCACACACACCAACUUGUUGAUCAAAAGAAAAUUAAAUGCCAAGUAUUUUAAUCAAAUAAUAUUUUCACUCUUCAGGCUGCUCAUAAAUGAUAAUUUGCUGUUUUUUAAUCACAUAUUAUAAUAAACUAAAAGUCUUCUUUUAACAUGUUUAUAGACUGAUCUCAGCAUGUUUACUUUAAUAAAUUUAAAUACAUAAGUCACAAAAAAUGUCUUUUUUCUUUAAUUUUCCAUCAAGAUUUUGAAAGAAGAAGUUUAAUCAAUAAUUAAAGCUGAAAUAACAGACUUGAUUUUAUAUUAUUUUUAAAGAGGCAGGGCAGCUGACAUGAUUAAUUUCUUUGGUUAAUGAGCACUGAUUAAAAACAGAAAAGCUGUGUCUGUAUACCUGCUCAGGUGCCUCCUGCUGUUUUGUCCUUUGAGAAAAAUGCAUCAGUGAAUCCAGCUGAAAUUUAAAAAAAAAAAAAAUUAUGGUGACUGGAAGUUAAUAUUUAUAAUAAAUAAGAAAUAUGGUUUGUGUUGCAUUAACUAGCGGUCAGGUCUUACCUUCUUGUGCUGCCUCUGAUGGUUUCUCAACUGGUAGGAGAAGCAGCCAUGCACGCCCCCUCCCUCUCCGUGGCCCUGCAGCAGCUGCUGGAUCUGGUUCACCACCCCCAGGUCCUGCACUAGUUUCUUCCUCUGGAACAGCACGCUGAGCUGUUCACGUUUAUCUAUUAAUGCCACUUUUUUCUCCUCCUCUUUCUCCUCCACCACCUCCUCCUCCUCCUCCUCCUCAUCCGGAUGCUCCUCCGCCUCUUCUUCGACCUCUGCAGACUCUGGAGCUGCUGAUGGGCUGGACACAGGAGGCUACGGCAAAAAAAGAACAUUUAAUUCAAUUUGUUUUUAUUGCUUCGAUGUAUAUGUUGCGCUGGAAAAAUAUAUGAGCAGUUACUGUGACAGAAUAUCAUUGAUUUCCUGUAUUG